CAGUAGCCGCGGGAAUACGAGGGGGGCAAGCGUUGUUCGGAAUUAUUGGGCGUAAAGGGUGCGUAGGCGGUUUCGCAAGUCUUGUGUGAAAUCUAUGGGCUCAACCCAUAGUCUGUACAGGAAACUGCGAGGCUUGAGGAUGGGAGAGGUGAGUGGAAUUUCCGGUGUAGCGGUGAAAUGCGUAGAUAUCGGAAGGAACACCUGUGGCGAAAGCGGCUCACUGGACCAUUUCUGACGCUGAUGCACGAAAGCUAGGGGAGCAAACAGGAUUAGAUACCCCCGUAGUCCCUGUCUCUUAUAC
This 301-nucleotide ribosomal RNA is filed under the name uncultured bacterium. RNAcentral's name for it is "partial 16S ribosomal RNA". It matches the Rfam family "Bacterial small subunit ribosomal RNA", at positions 509 to 807 of the family's 1533-position model. The record is from RNAcentral.